This 97-nucleotide signal recognition particle RNA is filed under the name Escherichia coli. RNAcentral's name for it is "signal recognition particle sRNA small type". It matches the Rfam family "Bacterial small signal recognition particle RNA". Rfam says of the family: The signal recognition particle (SRP) is a universally conserved ribonucleoprotein involved in the co-translational targeting of proteins to membranes. Lineage: Bacteria; Pseudomonadati; Pseudomonadota; Gammaproteobacteria; Enterobacterales; Enterobacteriaceae. The record is from RNAcentral.
UGUUGGUUCUCCCGCAACGCUACUCUGUUUACCAGGUCAGGUCCGGAAGGAAGCAGCCAAGGCAGAUGACGCGUGUGCCGGGAUGCAGCUGGCAGGG